This 137-nucleotide unclassified non-coding RNA is filed under the name uncultured Archaeorhizomyces. Its description in RNAcentral is "sequence contains ITS1". Lineage: Eukaryota; Fungi; Ascomycota; Archaeorhizomycetes; Archaeorhizomycetales; Archaeorhizomycetaceae. The record is from RNAcentral.
ACGAAUGGCCUAUUUUGGCCUUCAACCUUCAAACCUUUGUGAACCUUACAACUUGCUUCGGCGAGCCCCUCUCUCCGGAUUGGGAUCGCCGCGUUUAUGCUCGAAUGUGUUUUGUGUGUCGAUUUCUAUAAUAAAUA